UGCACACAUGAAUGUAAGUCACUUUGGAUAAAAGUAUCUGCUAAAUGGCAUAUA
Non-coding RNA from Salmo salar (Atlantic salmon), 54 nucleotides. The record is from Rfam. Lineage: Eukaryota; Metazoa; Chordata; Actinopteri; Salmoniformes; Salmonidae.